GAUUAACGCUGGCGGCGUGCCUAACACAUGCAAGUCGAGCGGCAGCGAGUUUUACACUGAAUUCUGGAAGCUUCUAGUUGAAAGAGAGGAUUUAUUCAAGAAUUUUGUGUAAAAUGUCGGCGAGCGGCGGACGGCUGAGUAACGCGUGGGAACGUACCCCAAAGUGAGGGAUAACGCAUCGAAAGGUGUGCUAAUACCGCAUAUGGUCUUCGGAUUAAAGCCUUCGGGCGCUUUGGGAACGGCCUGCGUAAGAUUAGAUAGUUGGUGGGGUAAUGGCCUACCAAGUCGACGAUCUUUAACUGGUUUGAGAGGAUGAUCAGUCAGACUGGAACUGAGACACGGUCCAGACUCCUACGGGAGGCAGCAGUGAGGAAUCUUCCACAAUGGGCGAAAGCCUGAUGGAGCAACGCCGCGUGCAGGAUGAAGGCCUUCGGGUUGUAAACUGCUUUUAUAAGUGAGGAUUAUGACAGUAACUUAUGAAUAAGGAUCGGCUAACUACGUG
RNAcentral lists this ribosomal RNA (502 nucleotides) under uncultured bacterium. RNAcentral's name for it is "partial 16S ribosomal RNA". It matches the Rfam family "Bacterial small subunit ribosomal RNA", at positions 28 to 507 of the family's 1533-position model. The record is from RNAcentral.